GAUGAACGCUGGCGGCGUGCCUAAUACAUGCAAGUCGAGCGAAUGGAUUAAGAGCUUGCUCUUAUGAAGUUAGCGGCGGACGGGUGAGUAACACGUGGGUAACCUGCCCAUAAGACUGGGAUAACUCCGGGAAACCGGGGCUAAUACCGGAUAACAUUUUGAACCGCAUGGUUCGAAAUUGAAAGGCGGCUUCGGCUGUCACUUAUGGAUGGACCCGCGUCGCAUUAGCUAGUUGGUGAGGUAACGGCUCACCAAGGCAACGAUGCGUAGCCGACCCGGGAGGGUGAUCGGCCAGACUGGGACUGAGAGACGGCCCAGACUCCUACGGGAGGCAGCAGUAGGGAAUCUUCCGCAAUGGACGAAAGUCUGACGGAGCAACGCCGCGUGAGUGAUGAAGGCUUUCGGGUCGUAAAACUCUGUUGUUAGGGAAGAACAAGUGCUAGUUGAAUAAGCUGGCACCUUGACGGUACCUAACCAGAAAGCCACGGCUAACUACGUGCCAGCAGCCGCGGUAA
This 515-nucleotide ribosomal RNA is filed under the name uncultured bacterium. RNAcentral's name for it is "partial 16S ribosomal RNA". It matches the Rfam family "Bacterial small subunit ribosomal RNA", at positions 28 to 523 of the family's 1533-position model. The record is from RNAcentral.